AGGACGAACGCUGGCGGCGUGCCUAACACAUGCAAGUCGAACGGGGUGAUUUUCUUCGGAGAAUCACUUAGUGGCGAACGGGUGAGUAACGCGUGAGAAACCUGCCUUUCAGUGGGGGACAACAGUUGGAAACGACUGCUAAUACCGCAUAAUGUAUUUUGGGGGCAUCCCUUGAAUACCAAAGCUUUAUGUGCUGAAAGAUGGUCUCGCGUCUGAUUAGCUAGAUGGCGGGGUAACGGCCCACCAUGGCGACGAUCAGUAGCCGGUCUGAGAGGAUGAACGGCCACAUUGGGACUGAGAUACGGCCCAGACUCCUACGGGAGGCAGCAGUGGGGAAUAUUGCACAAUGGGGGAAACCCUGAUGCAGCGACGCCGCGUGAGCGAAGAAGGUUUUCGGAUCGUAAAGCUCUGUCUUCAGGGACGAUAAUGACGGUACCUGAGGAGGAAGCCACGGCUAACUACGUG
This 465-nucleotide ribosomal RNA is filed under the name uncultured bacterium. RNAcentral describes it as "bacterial SSU rRNA". It matches the Rfam family "Bacterial small subunit ribosomal RNA", at positions 26 to 507 of the family's 1533-position model. The record is from RNAcentral.